AACCUUCUAUCACUCAGAUACUCGUGGUGGUCCUGGAAGUAAACGCCCGUGCUGCGUUAACGUCACCAAAGACAAUGUGAGUGCUGACGUGGUGGGGCAAACAUAUCGUGAGCAGGCUGCAAGGCAUCACUGUGUGAAGGCUAUAAUUUUCAACACAAAAAAUGGAAAACAACUUUGUGCUGAUCCAGACGCUCAGUGGGUCAAAGAUCUCACUGCCAAAAUGAGGAAGGUGUGAAGCCUGUCUGCUGCAUCAGUAUUUCCAGUAUUUCCAUCACCUUUAACCUCCUGAAAGACCUGAACUCUUUCAUGGCAUGCAUUUUUUAUUUCUCUUUCAUAUUUGGGCAUAU
Molecule: long non-coding RNA, 347 nt
Organism: Oreochromis aureus
Lineage: Eukaryota; Metazoa; Chordata; Actinopteri; Cichliformes; Cichlidae
Exons: 3
Source: RefSeq, a predicted model, not a curated record